This 253-nucleotide ribosomal RNA is filed under the name uncultured bacterium. Its description in RNAcentral is "partial 16S ribosomal RNA". It matches the Rfam family "Bacterial small subunit ribosomal RNA", at positions 524 to 776 of the family's 1533-position model. The record is from RNAcentral.
GACGAACCGUGCGAACGUUGUUCGGAAUCACUGGGCUUAAAGGGCGCGUAGGCGGGUCUGCAAGUCCGGGGUGAAAGCCCCCAGCUCAACUGGGGAAGUGCCUUGGAAACUGCGGGUCUCGAGGGAGGUAGGGGCAUGUGGAACUUCCGGUGGAGCGGUGAAAUGCGUUGAUAUCGGAAGGAACGCCGGUGGCGAAAGCGACGGACUGGAUCUCUUCUGACGCUGAGGCGCGAAAGCUAGGGGAGCAAACGGG